GUAGGCGGUUUAAUAAGUGAAUAGUGAAACCUGGUGGCUCAACCAUACAGACUAUUAUUCAAACUGUUAAACUCGAGAAUGGUAGAGGUAACNUGGAAUUUCUAGUGUAGGAGUGAAAUCCGUAGAUAUUAGAAGGAACACCGAUGGCGUAGGCAGGUUACNUGGGCCAUUUCUGACGCUAAGGCACGAAAGCGUGGGGAGCGAACCGGAUUAGAUACCCGGGUAGUCCACGCCGUAAACGAUGGAUACUAGCUGUUGGAGGUAUCGACCCCUUCAGUAGCGAAGCUAACGCGUUAAGUAUCCCGCCUGUGGAGUACGGCCGCAAGGCUAAAACAUAAAGGAAUUGACGGGGACCCGCACAAGCGGUGGAUUAUGUUCUUUAAUUCGAUGAUAACCGAAGAACCUUACCAGGGCUUGACAUCCAGGGAAGGUCUGCGAAAGUAGACUGUGCCUUUUGGAACCCUGUGACAGGUGAUGCAUGGCCGUCGUCAGCUCGUGUCGUGAGAUGUUAGGUUAAGUCCUUCAACGAGCGCAACCCUUGUGAAUAGUUGUAUUUUUCUAUUCAGACUGCCCCGGUAACGGGGAGGAAGGAGGGGAUGAUGUCAGGUCAGUAUUUCCCUUACGUCCUGGGCUAGAAACGUAAUACAAUGGCUAGUACAAUGCGCAGCGAAGCC
This 674-nucleotide ribosomal RNA is filed under the name uncultured Candidatus Saccharibacteria bacterium. RNAcentral describes it as "bacterial SSU rRNA". It matches the Rfam family "Bacterial small subunit ribosomal RNA", at positions 571 to 1256 of the family's 1533-position model. Lineage: Bacteria; Candidatus Saccharimonadota. The record is from RNAcentral.